CAACUCUAGAGAUAGAGUCUUCCCCUUCGGGGGACAAAGUGACAGGUGGUGCAUGGUUGUCGUCAGCUCGUGUCGUGAGAUGUUGGGUUAAGUCCCGCAACGAGCGCAACCCUUAAGCUUAGUUGCCAGCAUUAAGUUGGGCACUCUAAGUUGACUGCCGGUGACAAACCGGAGGAAGGUGGGGAUGACGUCAAAUCAUCAUGCCCCUUAUGAUUUGGGCUACACACGUGCUACAAUGGACAAUACAAAGGGCAGCUAAACCGUGAGGUCAUGCAAAUCCCAUAAAGUUGUUCUCAGUUCGGAUUGUAGUCUGCAACUCGACUACAUGAAGCUGGAAUCGCCAGUAAUCGUAGAUCAGCAUGCUACGGUGAAUACGUUCCCGGGUCUUGUACACACCGCCCGUCACACCACGAGAGUCUGUAACACCCGAAGCCGGUGGAGUAACCAUUUAUGGAGCUAGCCGUCGAAGGUGGGACAAAUGAUUGGGGUGAAGUCGUAACAAGGUAGCCGUAUCGGAAGGUGCGGUUGGAUCACCUC
RNAcentral lists this ribosomal RNA (537 nucleotides) under uncultured bacterium. Its description in RNAcentral is "bacterial SSU rRNA". It matches the Rfam family "Bacterial small subunit ribosomal RNA", at positions 995 to 1529 of the family's 1533-position model. The record is from RNAcentral.